RNAcentral lists this ribosomal RNA (109 nucleotides) under Aporhodopirellula sallentina SM41. Lineage: Bacteria; Pseudomonadati; Planctomycetota; Planctomycetia; Pirellulales; Pirellulaceae. RNAcentral also lists the same sequence under 2 other names. The record is from RNAcentral.
UCUGGCGACUAUAUCGCAAAGGUUAUACCUGUUCCCUUCCCGAACACAGAAGUCAAGCUUUGCGAGCCGAUGAUAGUGCCCACCAGCGUGAAAGUAGGUAUUGCCAGAU